CUGGCUCAGGAUGAACGCUAGCUACAGGCUUAACACAUGCAAGUCGAGGGGCAGCAUGAACUUAGCUUGCUAAGUUGAUGGCGACCGGCGCACGGGUGAGUAACGCGUAUCCAACCUGGCCCUUAGUAGGGGGAUAGCCCGGCGAAAGUCCGGAUUAAUACCCUAUGUUUUUCCGAUGCGAGCAUUCAAUUUGGAACAAAGAUUCAUCGCUAAGGGAUGGGGAUGCGUCUGAUUAGGUAGUCGGCGGGGUAACGGCCCACCGAGCCGACGAUCAGUAGGGGUUCUGAGAGGAAGGUCCCCCACAUUGGUACUGAGACACGGACCAAACUCCUACGGGAGGCAGCAGUGAGGAAUAUUGGUCAAUGGGCGAGAGCCUGAACCAGCCAAGUAGCGUGCAGGAUGACGGCCCUAUGGGUUGUAAACUGUCUUUUGGAGGGGAAUAAAGUGAGGCACGUGUGCCUUUUUGUAUGUACCCUCAGAAUAAGGACCGGCUAAUUCCGUGCCAGCAGCGGC
Molecule: ribosomal RNA, 513 nt
Filed under: uncultured bacterium
Lineage: Bacteria
Description: bacterial SSU rRNA
Rfam family: Bacterial small subunit ribosomal RNA
Source: RNAcentral